GGCGAAGGGUCCAAAGGCCGGGAGCGAGCCGGAUUUAAAAAUGAAAGUGAAAGAGUAAAAAAAUGUGAGCGCUCCUGCGCUAUACGGCUUUUUGGCGUCGCCCUAUCUUGCUGGAGGCAGAUUAAAAAAGCGGUGGAUUACUCGGAUUGGUUCUCGCGUCCCUGUGCCCAAAAGGAUGGGCGAGUUCGGUUUGAGUGUUCAUCGAUCGGGUGGAUCUAUAUGCUCCGGGGUGGUGAGACGAGGUGUAGCGCAGUCUGG
Molecule: long non-coding RNA, 258 nt
Filed under: Panax ginseng (ginseng)
Lineage: Eukaryota; Viridiplantae; Streptophyta; Magnoliopsida; Apiales; Araliaceae
Description: long non-coding RNA (PGIN_LNC008686)
Source: RNAcentral